CCUACCCAUAGGUUGGGGACAACUCCGGGAAACCGGAGCUAAUACCGAAUAAUAUUUCAAGAACGCAUGUUUUUGAAAUCAAAGGAGGCCUCUCUAUAGAAGCUUCUGCCCAUGGAUGGAUCCGCGUCUGAUUAGCUAGUUGGUGGGGUAAUGGCCUACCAAGGCGACGAUCAGUAGCCGGCCUGAGAGGGUGAACGGCCACACUGGGACUGAGACACGGCCCAGACUCCUACGGGAGGCAGCAGUGGGGAAUCUUCCGCAAUGGGCUAAAGCCUGACGGAGCAAUGCCGCGUGAAUGAAGAAGGCCUUCGGGUUGUAAAGUUCUGUUGAGAAGGAAGAAAGAUCUAAGAGCUAAUACCUCUUAAGUUUGACGGUACUUUUCGAGGAAGCCCCGGCUAACUACGUGCCAGCAGCCGCGGUAAUACGUAGGGGGCAAGCGUUGUCCGGAAUCACUGGGCGUAAAGCGCAUGUAGGCGGGAUAUUAAGUCAGGUGUGAAAACUACAGGCUCAACCUGUAGAUUGCAUUUGAAACUGGUAUUCUUGAGUAUUGGAGAGGAAAGUGGAAUUCCUAUGUAGCGGUGAAAUGCGUAAAUAUUAGGAGGAACACCAUUGGCGAAGGCGAAUUUCUG
Molecule: ribosomal RNA, 629 nt
Filed under: uncultured bacterium
Lineage: Bacteria
Description: bacterial SSU rRNA
Rfam family: Bacterial small subunit ribosomal RNA
Source: RNAcentral